Molecule: ribosomal RNA, 460 nt
Filed under: uncultured bacterium
Lineage: Bacteria
Description: partial 16S ribosomal RNA
Rfam family: Bacterial small subunit ribosomal RNA
Source: RNAcentral
CCUACGGGUGGCAGCAGUGAGGAAUAUUGGUCAAUGGACGAGAGUCUGAACCAGCCAAGUAGCGUGAAGGAUGACUGCCCUAUGGGUUGUAAACUUCUUUUAUAUGGGAAUAAAAUGUUCCACGUGUGGGAUUUUGUAUGUACCAUAUGAGUAAGGAUCGGCUAACUCCGUGCCAGCAGCCGCGGUAAUACGGAGGAUCCGAGCGUUAUCCGGAUUUAUUGGGUUUAAAGGGAGCGUAGGUGGAUUGUUAAGUCAGUUGUGAAAGUUUGCGGCUCAACCGUAAAAUUGCAGUUGAAACUGGCAGUCUUGAGUACAGUAGAGGUUGGCGGAAUUCGUGGUGUAGCGGUGAAAUGCUUAGAUAUCACGAAGAACUCCGAUUGCGAAGGCAGUUCACUGGACUGCAACUGACACUGAGGCUCGAAAGUGUGGGUAUCAAACAGGAUUAGAUACCCGAGUAGUC